This 497-nucleotide ribosomal RNA is filed under the name uncultured bacterium. RNAcentral's name for it is "partial 16S ribosomal RNA". It matches the Rfam family "Bacterial small subunit ribosomal RNA", at positions 28 to 507 of the family's 1533-position model. The record is from RNAcentral.
GAUGAACGCUGGCGGCGUGCCUAAUACAUGCAAGUCGAGCGAACAGACGAGGAGCUUGCUCCUCUGACGUUAGCGGCGGACGGGUGAGUAACACGUGGAUAACCUACCUAUAAGACUGGGAUAACUUCGGGAAACCGGAGCUAAUACCGGAUAAUAUAUUGAACCGCAUGGUUCAAUAGUGAAAGACGGUUUUGAUGUCACUUAUAGAUAGAUCCGCGCCGCAUUAGCUAGUUGGUAAGGUAACGGCUUACCAAGGCGACGAUGCGUAGCCGACCUGAGAGGGUGAUCGGCCACACUGGAACUGAGACACGGUCCAGACUCCUACGGGAGGCAGCAGUAGGGAAUCUUCCGCAAUGGGCGAAAGCCUGACGGAGCAACGCCGCGUGAGUGAUGAAGGUCUUCGGAUCGUAAAACUCUGUUAGUAGGGAAGAACAAAUGUGUAAGUAACUAUGCACGUCUUGACGGUACCUAAUCAGAAAGCCACGGCUAACUACGUG